UUUUUUCAAAUUUGAUCAGAUUUCACAAGACUUCAGGAAGCUACAUCCAGAGGCAGACUUUUUAUAGACUGGGCUACAUUUGCAAGAUGGAAAGGUGCAUUAAGAGCUGGGUGACAUGACUUCAGGUGGGGACCAGCAUGGUGGAUUUGUGCCUGGGGGAUGAGACAACGACAUCCCAGACCUUCGCCAUUGUUACGGGCUGUGCCACUGAAGCCACUGACUUGUUGCCUGGAAAUUUCUCCAGCUUGCAGUAUAUUAUAUUGAUGGACAUAAGUCUUCAUGUGUGAAUUUUAUUUAUUUAUUUUUUAAAGACCAACUGUUUUUUCUGGCCAAUUGUAACAUGUUUUAAAUUGUCAUAUGUAUUGUCUGGUGGACACUUUGUUUGGCUUAGUUUUAAUAGCACAAUGUUUGGAAUGAUUCUCAUGUGGUAAUCAUUCAUUUUUGAGUGUUCUGCUGCUGCAAUGUUAACAAAGAAUGGGAAUCUACAGUGCCUAGUUUACGCAGUUUUGUGUUUUAAAGUAACUGAUCUACUAAAAUUGUUGUUUUAUGUGUCUGUGAUGGUUGGAUAAAAUGUUUUACAGCUGCACCCAUUUGAAAAUUGUUUUAAAAAUAAAUAAAACUCAUUAAAUUGA
Molecule: long non-coding RNA, 632 nt
Organism: Labeo rohita (rohu)
Lineage: Eukaryota; Metazoa; Chordata; Actinopteri; Cypriniformes; Cyprinidae
Exons: 2
Source: RefSeq, a predicted model, not a curated record